Molecule: transfer RNA, 84 nt
Filed under: Phycisphaerales bacterium
Lineage: Bacteria; Pseudomonadati; Planctomycetota; Phycisphaerae; Phycisphaerales
Description: tRNA-Leu
Rfam family: tRNA
About the family: Transfer RNA (tRNA) molecules are approximately 80 nucleotides in length. Their secondary structure includes four short double-helical elements and three loops (D, anti-codon, and T loops).
Source: RNAcentral
GCGGGCGUGGCGGAACUGGCAGACGCGCGGGACUUAGGAUCCCGUGGCCGCAAGGCCUUGCAGGUUCGACUCCUGUCGCCCGCA